GAACGCGAAGAACCUUACCAAGGCUUGACAUGCACGGCGGCACUGCAGAGAUGUGGUGGCAUUUGGUUGGUCGUGUGCAGGUGGUGCAUGGUUGUCGUCAGCUCGUGUCGUGAGAUGUUGGGUUAAGUCCCGCAACGAGCGCAACCCUUGCCCUAUGUUGCCAGCACGUGAUGGUGGGGACUCGUGGGGGACUGCCGGGGUUAACUCGGAGGAAGGUGGGGAUGACGUCAAAUCAUCAUGCCCCUUAUGUCUUGGGCUUCACGCAUGCUACAAUGGUUGGUACAGAGGGUUGCGAUACUGUGAGGUGGAGCGAAUCCCUUAAAGCCAGUCUCAGUUCGGAUUGGGGUCUGCAACUCGACCCCAUGAAGGUGGAGUCGCUAGUAAUCGCAGAUCAGCAACGCUGCGGUGAAUACGUUCUCGGGUCUUGUACACACC
RNAcentral lists this ribosomal RNA (435 nucleotides) under uncultured bacterium. RNAcentral's name for it is "bacterial SSU rRNA". It matches the Rfam family "Bacterial small subunit ribosomal RNA", at positions 957 to 1391 of the family's 1533-position model. The record is from RNAcentral.